Molecule: ribosomal RNA, 342 nt
Filed under: Triticum aestivum (bread wheat)
Lineage: Eukaryota; Viridiplantae; Streptophyta; Magnoliopsida; Poales; Poaceae
Description: partial small subunit ribosomal RNA
Source: RNAcentral
AUGUCCUUCCCCACUCUCCAGCCAGAGGCCUCCUGGUGGAUCAAGUCCAGCUUGAUAAGUGAUGGUCGACGCAAGUACAGCAAGCAACUGAAUAAACUCGCGAGCCUUGUUGACUUGUUCUUUUCUGACAUUCUCUGCCUCUUCUUCUCCGCCAUUCUUUGCCUUGUCGGCUUCUUCUUUUCCGUCGUUCUUUGCAUUGUUGAUUUCUUCUUUUCCGUCAUUCUUUGCCUUGUUGAGUUCUUCUUUUCCGUCAUUCUUUCCCUUGUUGCCUCGUGGUCUGUGAAUCCAUGCAUUAUAGACAGAUAUAUAGUUAGAGGCAUAUACAUGCAUGGAGAGCUAUGA